This 443-nucleotide ribosomal RNA is filed under the name uncultured bacterium. RNAcentral describes it as "partial 16S ribosomal RNA". It matches the Rfam family "Bacterial small subunit ribosomal RNA", at positions 338 to 795 of the family's 1533-position model. The record is from RNAcentral.
CCUACGGGAGGCAGCAGUGGGGAAUAUUGGACAAUGGGGGGAACCCUGAUCCAGCGACGCCGCGUGAGUGAAGAAGUAUUUCGGUAUGUAAAGCUCUAUCAGCAGGGAAGAAAGAAAUGACGGUACCUGACUAAGAAGCCCCGGCUAACUACGUGCCAGCAGCCGCGGUAAUACGUAGGGGGCAAGCGUUAUCCGGAUUUACUGGGUGUAAAGGGAGCGCAGGCGGUAUGGCAAGUCAGAUGUGAAAACCCAGGGCCCAACCCUGGGACUGCAUUUGAAACUGCCAUACUGGAGUGCCGGAGAGGUAAGUGGAAUUCCUAGUGUAGCGGUGAAAUGCGUAGAUAUUAGGAGGAACACCAGUGGCGAAGGCGGCUUACUGGACUGUAACUGACGUUGAGGCUCGAAAGCGUGGGGAGCAAACAGGAUUAGAUACCCGAGUAGUC